RNAcentral lists this transfer RNA (76 nucleotides) under Lentisphaerota bacterium. Its description in RNAcentral is "Lentisphaerae bacterium tRNA-Glu". It matches the Rfam family "tRNA". Rfam says of the family: Transfer RNA (tRNA) molecules are approximately 80 nucleotides in length. Lineage: Bacteria; Pseudomonadati; Lentisphaerota. The record is from RNAcentral. RNAcentral also lists the same sequence under 1 other name.
GUCUCCAUCGUCUAGAGGCCUAGGACACCGGGUUUUCAUCCCGGCAACACGGGUUCGAAUCCCGUUGGAGAUGCCA